Molecule: long non-coding RNA, 3248 nt
Organism: Mytilus californianus (California mussel)
Lineage: Eukaryota; Metazoa; Mollusca; Bivalvia; Mytilida; Mytilidae
Exons: 5
Source: RefSeq, a predicted model, not a curated record
AAAGUGUUUGUGUGCAGUUACCUUGUGUAAAUAAUCAAAUUUUCUUUUAAAUUGAUAUGUGUUACCUGUUUGUGCUUAUUGUUUUUAGAUGAUGUAAAUAGGGAAACAAAAUAGUACACACUUAGUGUUACAUUUAAACACGGAACUGUUGAUUUAUAAAGUUGUACAAAUGUAAUUAAGAUGAAAAACAUCUUUUGUCAAUUGUCAAGAUAGAAUUUAAAAUAACACAAAAGAUUUUUACUUUAAAUAACAAUAAAACGAUGUAUUCAACGCGUUCUUUUUAAAAUGUAAACAGUGUAAUCGAGUCGCUUAUAAUUUCCUCAAAAGAAAAGUUUUAUAAAUAUUAGUCUGGUAGAUCAAUGUGUAAAAAUGCUAUUAAGGAGGAUUAUAACUUUUGUAGUUUUAUUAUUAACUCAACCAGUCUAUGGCGUGUCAGUGUACGAUGGAUUUGACAUUCUUAUUGUCGUCUGGGGAUCAGUGGCUGGAAUUGCUACUCUGACUAUAUUUGUCAUCAUAAUAUACAUCCAUGUUAAAUCAAACACAGAUAUUAUAGUUUCAAUACAACGAAUGGUAGGAAAUGAGGAAAACCAAGAAACUUACGAGACUCCAGAAGCAAGAAGAGACAGUCACAUUUACAAUCAAGAUCAAGACAAUCAAAGUGACAACAAUCAAUAUUUAGAAGUUCGGUCAUCGACCACUAGCGAUAUUAACAAUGACAAUAUUCAGAGCCGGUCAUCGACUCUUCCAACAAAAGGGGAUAAUCAGAAUCAAUUACUGUACACAGGGAAUAUUCCAAAUCGUGUAUCUGGUAAACAAGUAGAAAUACCUGGCGAAGCUGAUCACAAUCGGUCUCGGGAUCAGAAUCGUGAAACAGUUUAUGAAAUCACCGACCUUGAUAACUCAAGCUGAUCAACGCAAAUGAAAAACGUCAGCUAAAAAGACUAUGAACAAUAUGCUUAUAAGUAAAUCCGUUAUUCUUCAUUUUCAAUUUAAUCUGUUUAAAAAUGUCAUCUUAAAAUGUCAUGUUAUACAACAUAAAAUGCUUAGAGAAGCGACAUAUCAUAAUAGAUUAGUCUCUUAAAAACAUUAAUAUUUCAAGUAAUACAACAAAAGAGGCUUGGAGAAGCGACAUAUCAUAAUAGAUUAGUCUCUUAAAAACAUUAAUAUUCCAUGUAAUACAACAAAAGAGGCUUGGAGAAGCGACAUAUCAUAAUAGAUUAGUCUCUUAAAACAUUAAUAUUUCAUGUAAUACAACAAAAGAGGCUUGGACAAGCGACAUAUCAUAAUAGAUUAGUCUCUUAAAAACAUUAAAUGGUGUAUCGUUCCAUGGUAAAAAUUGAGUUAUCUUUCGUUUACCAGAACAAAAGUUUCAACUGGAAAAAUAUAGUCAAUCUCAUUACAAAAGAAUUUAUAUAUGAAAAUAAGAAGAUGUGGUAUGGUUGACAAUGAGACAUCUCUCCAUCAGAGACCAAAUGACGUAGAAGUUAACAACAAUAGGUCAUCGUACGGCCUUCCACAAUGAGCAAAACCCAUACCGCAUAGUAAUAAUAUGUACGUUGGAAUGGAAAAAUAAUUAAUAGGUUACACGUAUGUCGCAUCCCCGGGCGUCUCUUUUAAGGGAUAAAACUAUUAAAACGGUCAAACUCUAGACAAAUAAGUGUGAGCUGCAUAGCAGCCCGAAACACGCAAUAUCUGUAUUAAAACAUAUACAUAUAUGUUUUAUUUGUUCAUUAAGGUUUUUAUAUCAAACUAAACCUACUGUGUUUGCAAAGUGCGAUGCGCCUGUAGAUUUCCCUUAUUGGGAAUGCGCAAAGCCUAAUGUUAGGGACAAAAACUAUUCACGAUGGUAUAGAAAUAUGGUCAUCUGUACUUCAAACUAAACGGUUAGGUAGUUAACAAUCUAAAUCUACAAGCGUAAAAGUAAAUUUCAAUAUAAAAACAAUAUUGAAUUUCGUACAUUGUAGAAACAAAUAAAAUUCAUACCCAAAAGAAAAAAAAAAUUGACGAUCCUCGGUUUUCUUCCCAUUUCUUAAUAUAAGUUUGUACAAAUAGAUUUCAUAUUUUCCUAUAAUGUACGAAUUUUAAUAUUGUUUAUGUCUUUAUUGAUACCCUGAUUACUUAUAAUAUGGACCCUUAGGGUUUACUGAAGCAUAAUAGACAUAUUCUCUAUUCCAACAGUUAAUUCGGUUGUGUUGGAUGUAUAAAAACUCAUCCACGUCCGAUCGAAAUGAUGACAAUACAUUCUAUGCGCUUUGUGUAGGGGUAUGCCACGCUCUCUGCAUUUUUAAAAAUCCUUGAAACAAGGUUUUUUGACAGGUAACUUUACAGAACGCACCGAUUAAAUUUAUUGUAUUUGCUCUCGUCUGCAUAUGCAUGAACUAUUUCACGUUAGAUGUUAAGCAAAUAAUCAAUAAAAUGUAAUACAGUUUUCUUAAUUAUAAGUUGUUAAUGAGUGCUACGUAUUCAAACAUCUCACUACAAUUCAGAAUCGAUCCUUAGCUGGUUCUCGGCUGACUACUACACUUUGUUUGAGUGUAGCGUAAUACAAGCAGUUUCCAGUUCAAAUCGAUCCUAUUUAAUGUGUUGAGAAAUGAAAUUAUUGAUUUUCUAUCGAUUACUUAGCGAGAACGUAGUUUAAAAAAGAUACAUUGUGUUAAAAUUUGAAUGUAACAUACAAUAUAACGACAUAUUUUUAAUAUCGCGAUCUAUUGAUAACAAGUUAAAUUGUUUCUUUGUUUUGAUGUUUAAGUACACACCAUUGUUUCAAACGGCGUUUAAUUAGAUGUGCAUCUCGACAGUAUAUGACAGGUAACGGAUAGAACGUUUAACGUUACACACUAUGGGUGAUAUUAGAAAGAAUGACCUAUUUGUUGUCGGAAUCUCUCUUGGGGUUGCUGUCUUGUUCCAACUUCUUGUUAUCAUCAUUUACUGUGUCGUGAAAAGGAAAAGAGAAAAAGCAGAAAGGAGAAAAAAAGAUCAUGAAAUAUUUAUAGCAUCGAUUGAACAUAACGUGCAAUUAUCGAUACAAAGAGAUACAAACAGUCAUGUACAAUCAUGUGAUACAAACAGUCAUGUACAGUCAUCCGAUACAGCCAAUCAAUACUAUGAGAGAAGGAAACAGAUUAACAGUGAAAAAAAUAAAGCAGAAUUUGUUCUACUUGGGAUGAUUUGAAGUUAUUCAGUAAAUCAUUUGAUACUUUGAUUUCAAAAUUAUGAAUACCAUUUACGUUUUAUACAUUUUUAUAAAC